UGAACGCGCGCCAGAGCUCUGUCUAUAGGCUUUACUCUUUCUCUACUAUUCUCGGGAGAUAUCUAAUGCCGCUGGAGCCUGAAGUCUCUGGUAGAUUCACGUAUAGGAUAGAGACGAUAAAUUUCCAUAGCGGCUAACGGCUAUUAUGUUGUAUGACCUUCUCGAUAAAGGGAAAAAGAGCCAGCACAUGCCUGACAUUCGCUCCACUAUGAGAUCGUUGAAUUUAUUCUACAAGGCAUAAAUUUGAAAAUCCUGUUUAAGCAUGAGGAGUAUUUCGCUAUGACUAUGUGUACACUCGAACUUGUUUCUUUUAUACAAGGGACUUAUAAACGGGAGAACAUUUGAUAUAUCUCAUCCUCCACCGUGGGGUGAGUGGGUGAAUAAUCCUGUGAAUGCAUUGGCGAGUCAACCACUAGUGGACAGUGGCAUCACUAGACAGGAUGGAUCAAGCACAGCAGCUAGGGAACUAGGAUAUAUAUAGACUAUCUAGGUCCGAUAUCCAGUACAUGUACAG
Molecule: small RNA, 514 nt
Filed under: Histoplasma capsulatum var. duboisii H88
Lineage: Eukaryota; Fungi; Ascomycota; Eurotiomycetes; Onygenales; Ajellomycetaceae
Description: Histoplasma capsulatum H88 hypothetical RNA
Source: RNAcentral